ACGCUCGACACCUACGGGGGCAGCAGUGGGGAAUAUUGCACAAUGGGGGAAACCCUGAUGCAGCGACGCCGCGUGAAGGAAGAAGUAUCUCGGUAUGUAAACUUCUAUCAGCAGGGAAGAAAGUGACGGUACCUGACUAAGAAGCCCCGGCUAACUACGUGCUAGCAGCCGCGGUAAUCUGAGCGGGCUGGCAAGGC
RNAcentral lists this ribosomal RNA (197 nucleotides) under uncultured bacterium. RNAcentral's name for it is "partial 16S ribosomal RNA". It matches the Rfam family "Bacterial small subunit ribosomal RNA", at positions 328 to 539 of the family's 1533-position model. The record is from RNAcentral.